RNAcentral lists this ribosomal RNA (259 nucleotides) under uncultured prokaryote. RNAcentral describes it as "partial 16S ribosomal RNA". It matches the Rfam family "Bacterial small subunit ribosomal RNA", at positions 524 to 782 of the family's 1533-position model. The record is from RNAcentral.
UACGGAGGAUUCGAGCGUUAUCCGGAUUUAUUGGGUUUAAAGGGUGCGUAGGCGGAAAUGUAAGUCAGUGGUGAAAUCCUGCAGCUUAACUGUAGAAUAGCCGUUGAAACUGUGUUUCUUGAGUACAUUUGAGGUAGGCGGAAUGUGGUGUGUAGCGGUGAAAUGCAUAGAUAUACCACAGAACACCGAUUGCGAAGGCAGCUUACUAAACUGUCACUGACGCUGAUGCACGAAAGCGUGGGUAUCAAACAGGAUUAGA